RNAcentral lists this ribosomal RNA (216 nucleotides) under uncultured bacterium. RNAcentral describes it as "partial 16S ribosomal RNA". It matches the Rfam family "Bacterial small subunit ribosomal RNA", at positions 118 to 351 of the family's 1533-position model. The record is from RNAcentral.
UGGGAACGUGCCCUUUGGUUCGGAAUAACUCAGGGAAACUUGAGCUAAUACCGGAUAAGUCCGUAAGGAGAAAGAUUUAUCGCCGAAGGAGCGGCCCGCGUCCGAUUAGCUAGUUGGUGGGGUAAUGGCCCACCAAGGCUACGAUCGGUAGCUGGUCUGAGAGGAUAACCAGCCACACUGGGACUGAGACACGGCCCAGACUCCUACGGGAGGCAG